Molecule: long non-coding RNA, 5998 nt
Organism: Aethalodelphis obliquidens (Pacific white-sided dolphin)
Lineage: Eukaryota; Metazoa; Chordata; Mammalia; Artiodactyla; Delphinidae
Exons: 3
Source: RefSeq, a predicted model, not a curated record
UCCAUGGUGCUGCUCAGCAAAUGGAACUGGGACUGGCAGGAAGGGGAGGAGGGAAGGGGGAGACACACAGUCAGGCUGGAGAGUGGAAGCCAUCCCGUCCGGGAGGUGUCCUGUUACAGGAGCCUUAAAGGGCCAGCAGCUCAGUCAUCCCAAAUAUUUCCUCGGGGGGGGGGGGGGGGCCCACCUGACAGGUCACUACUUGUGUUGGGAUAAACUGACAUAUUCACCUCGCCCUCCCCUCUCCAUCAGCCUCCCAGUGCCUGGGCUCCUGGGGCUCCGCCGAGCACACCUGGAGGGGACCGGCCUGCGGGGGGGCGGCUCCCAGCCCCGACUGACACCCUGGGUGCCCGGCUGCACUCCCCAGGGGCAGCACCCGGCCCAGAGAGCCACGCCUCCUACUGUCACCGUUACAGCUCAAGCUGGGGAGACCCCACCCCCGGAAGCAGGGCAGAGGGCGGCCCCCGCGCGCAGGGUGGGCACACCCCAGGCUCCGGUGCAGGGGCUGUCUGCCCAAGAGGCUUUGGGAGGCCAGAUGUGGCCCCUCGGUCCAGCCCCGUAGGUGGUGGGGCAGAGCUGGGGGCUGAAGGACGGUGGCUGAGGCCACCUGCGAAGGGCCUCUGUGACGACAGGCUACCUUCAUCCCCCCGCACCUGAACGACCCCCAGUUCCCCCUGCUAGCAGCCCUGCCUGGUCCACACCCUCUGCCCACCCCAGGGCACUGGCAGCCUAGCCCCCUCCGGGGCCACACACAGAAGGAACAGGAGCUCCUAGCCUCGUGGUGUGGGCGUGUCCCCUGGUCACCCCCUGUGGGGUCGGACCAGCAGCCCUUGUCAGGAGCUUAAGGGAGGCCCUGGCGAGGAAGGGAGGGGGCGGGCGCCGGCCCACGCUUCGGCGUCUUGAAUCCAGGGCAGAGCAGGUCUCCCCUGGAGGGCUGGCAGGGAAGACCCACCUUGGCAAUCAGGAGGCUUCCAACAGGAGGGCGACACAGUAGCUGACACGGGCCAGACCUGCUCUAACCGCAAAUGUUUAAACAGCUCCUCUCUGUGCCAGCCAGGCUCGGAGGGAGGGCGGGCGCUACUGCCCCCGAUGUGCAGAUGCGGACACUGAGGCUUGGUGUGGGGAUGGCAACGCCGGGGGUCCGUGAACUGGGGGGACUUGCAUCUGGCGGGCAGAGGGCCUGGAGUCCCCCUAGAGGGGUGGAGGGGAGAGGCAGACCGGACAGCGGGCGAGGGGCCCCUUUGCUCUGCACCCACUUCUGCGAGGCAAGCACUCUGCCCCCUCAAGUUCCUUGGAUGGUGGGGAGAACCCCGGCCGUGGGGUGACCCCAGUGCUCAGCUCCCUCUUGCACGUCAGGAGGGUUGGGUUCCAUAACCCAGAGGCCCCUGCAGCUCGGCACCCCGGAGGCACACCCGUGUCCACAUCACAGAGCCCCCCGGGCCCCCUCCCGACCUGGGGAGGGAAACCCUCUCCUGAGGUCUGCCCAGCCUGGAGGAAGCUCAGCACAGGUGACGACCGAGGGGGAGGGAGGUGACGGGUGAUGGACGACAGGCGGCUGAGUCUUACCAAAGCCGCUUCCCGCCCCCCCAGCCCCGUUCCUCCUGCCCCCACCAUGCUUCCCUCAGAUGCUCCAGCCCUGACGGCCCGCUGCCACCCAGUGCGGACCAGCCGUCAGGCCCGACCCUAUGCCCUCCCCGCUGGGGACAGCCAGACUGGGCAACGCCGUCAGGGGCUUGGCACAAGGCCCUGGCCGAAACUGCCACCUGACAGAUCCCUUGGGUGGCUCUCAGGCUUUUCUAUUUGAACCUCCAGGGCCAUUCCCCCCACCCUGUAAACCUAGGGCCCCAACACCAGUGGGAUGGGCGCCCCCUGCCGGGCAGACCCCACUUCCCCGCCCCACUAAGGCCACCUUCCCUGGUCGGCGGUCCCCUCAAAGGCCUUCCUAACUUCCUGAGGCUUCGCCUGGAAGACGAAGGAGGCUCAGUGCCCACUGCCUCGCCUGCCUUGCAGGUGGAGAAACAGAUGCCGAGUCCGUGCCACGGAAUGUUAUUCCUCCAGCAUCAGGAAGAAACAAGCUACUGAUGCUACAGCCCGGAGGAGAUGCAAAAACACGCCACACGAAGGCGCCCACACGAAAACUCACACGCCAUACGGUUCCCUUUACAUGAAAGUCCAGGGAUGGCAAACCCACAGGGACAGACGCAGAUGGGGGCGGCCAGGGCUGGGGUGGGGCUUCGGGGUGACAGCUAAGGUGCAGGGGUCCCUUCUGAGGCCAUGAAAACGCUCUCAAAUGGACUGUGGUGAUGGGUCCAUAUACCUGUGAAUUGUUUUAACUGGAGUAGAGUUGAUUUAAUGCUGUGCUAGCAUCUGCUGUACAGCAAAGCGAUUCAGUUAUACACACACAUGCACGGUCUUUUUCACGUUCUUUUCCAUGAUGGUUUAUCACAGGAUAUUGAAUAUAGUUCCCUGCGCUCUACAGGAGGACUUUGUUUUUUGUCCACCCUGUAAAUAAUAGUUUGCAUCUGCUAAUCCCAAACUCCCAAUCCUUCCCUACCCUGCACUCCCCACCUUGGCAACUCUAAGUCUGUUCUCGAAGUCUGUGAGUCUGUUUUGUGAAUAUAUUUUAAAAAUACUGAAUUGUAUACUUUAAGUCGGUGAAUUGUGUGGUAUGCCAAUUAUAACUCAAUAAAAACAACUGAGGGACCCGGCCAAGCCUCACCUCUCCUGGCCCGGGCCAUUGUGGGCGUGAGGGGAGUGACAGCCAACGCCUCCAGAGGGCCCGGGUGGGGGCCCCACGUGCUUUCACACCCGCUUGCUCCAGGACGGCACUGCUCUGCGUCCCCCCCACUUACGCCUCCCCACUGGACUUCAGACCCGACAAGGACAGACCUUGUCCCACGGGUCAUCAACGUACCCCUGCACAGGCACAGAAAACGUGGCCAGUGUGAACUGAGCUGUGCUGUGGACAUAAGGGCACAGACUCCAAGGACUUAGUGCCAAUGGAAAGAAUAGAAUAAAAUAUCUCAUUCACAAUUUCAUAUUGAUCACUUGCUGAAAUGAGCAUAGUUUGGGAAAAGCAAAAUAAAUUCUUGAAUUAUUUUCACUGUUUCUUUUCACCAUUUUUAAUGUGGCUACAAGAAAAUGCAACGUUACAUGUGUGGCUUGCGUCCCAUUUCUACUGGAUGGCCGGCACUGGACAGGGUCCUCCAUCAGUGGCCAGUGAGGGACUCGCAACUGUGAUGAGCACGACCCCUCUGGAGGGUCUUCCCUUUCGCUCCACCAAGGGCUGCAGGGAGCCUUCCACAUCCCUAGCAAGGACAGCCCAGCCUGGGGUUUCAUGUCUGUUCCCCCGGCUCCAUCCCCAACAGGAGGACGGUCCAGGCCAGCAGAGCAAACUGCCCCUGCCUCCCAGUUCAGGGGAAGGGGGAGGCAACCCCACGACGACAACCGUGUUCAGGGGAAGGGGGAGGCAGCCCCACGACGACAACCGUGUUCAGAUUUUAACUUGUCCACAUUCUUUACAGAUCUGAGGCGAGUGCCAGGGAAUUAGUCAUUGAACCAAAAGGAGCAGGGCUGAUAGGAUCUCCACGCCCAGCAGCCACAAAGCAAGAGGGAGCCUGGAGGCUUCCAGCGGGCCGCCGGCCGCCACAAGGAGUCCUAAUGGGAUGUGGGACCGCUGCAUCCCUCGUCCAGCGAGGGUCUCAUCUCCUCUCCUCUCGCUCCAGCUCUCCAAGCCUCCCUGCAUCCACGACCACCUUCAGCAAGGCUCCAGGACGCUAAGAUCAGACGAGGACCGCGCAGACGGGCUGCGAUGCGCAGUCGGGGGACCCAGCACAGAUUCACACUUAGGCACCACACGUGCUCUCUGGAGUAAAACUGAUUUUUGUGGUGAACGUGGCAACAGAAAAACUUGUCAGUAAAGUUUAAAACGACUCUGGUUAUGUCCCCAAAGGCUUACGGUUUCAGGCUGCCUCACCCAGUGGAGGGGACUCGAAGCCAGGCCAAGCGGGGGCAACUGGGGAAUGCGGAGCUCAAACACUGGCUCAGGAAGCAUCUGUCCGUCCCGGCCGCAAGGACACAAAGAUUCGAAAGACAGGACUCGCUCGCCUUUGGGCAGUGAUAACAGCUCCCAGGAAGCCCCAGUUUCCGGCCUCCUUUCGACACUGCAGGUCCACACACAGGGCCUUUUCUCGUGCUAGUCACCUACUCCCAAUACUGUCUCUCCUACCUGUACCACCUCUCAAGGAUCACCUCCUCCCUGAAGCCACCCAGGCUCUCUCCACCUGUUCUGGUGUUCAAGGACUUCCUCUGCUGCUUCUCUGGGUUCAGUAACAUGAUAUGCACACCCAUGUGGGUUUGCAUCCGUGCCCACCUCUUACCAACGGCUUCUGUGAGGGCCCAGCAGUUAAUACACUGAGAAGCCGAGAAUGGCGCCCGAACACGGAAUGCAUAGACGUGUCUGCUGUCGUUCCUACCGGCUCCCUCUCCCCCUACCUGCCCCCAGGUGGGCAUGGAUGGCCACGGUCCUGGGAGCUACCACAUGCAUGGCUAUCGCAGAAACACUGGUUCUGGCUCCUUCUUUUCUAAGCCAUGGGACGGCCAGCUCACUCAUCUUGCAUUCUUCUGCAUUUCCGGCAGAAAUGGAGGUUUCACGCUUUUAAUGUUCUUUCAAGGUGUGGUCAGAAGACCAUUACUCAGGGCGCCCGCCCAGGGAUCUGAGGGCCCAUCUCGGGGUGGGGGGGCCUCCUGGGAGGUUUGACCUUUUCUGGCAGCUUGGGCCCAUGCCCCCCCCCCCCAGUGCUACUUCAGUUCAGCAGAGAAUGAUCCAGUAGGUCAUAGUGUACCCUUCCCUCCACGCCCAGAAAGGAUCAGGAGGGACUCAGCAAGGGACAGAAACGACAGGACAACUCGAAAGCACAAAGGAGGCUGCCCGGCGGCAAGGGCAGACUGGCAGCCAGCGUGAACAGGGACCCAAGAUGAGACACGUAAUUACAGAAUCCCCACUGUCCAGGGAGCAGGGUCGGGAGAGAGAAACCUCUCCUCAGCACGGAAGCCCCAAGCUCAGAGGUGAGAGGCUCCUGCUAAGCUAAUUUCUCUCCACCAGAGUGUACAACCCAUCCAGACACCUUCCUCCUAUUCCAGCUCCUAUUUCUGCAUUAAGAACCUGCUGAGUGUCCAGGACACCUGCAGCUCACACGGGCAGCUGUCCAGCCGUUCAGUCCAUGGUGCCCAAAGUGUGCGCCACGGCACGACUGCAGACCUUAUCGGAGCCUUGAGGACAGCCAGCGUGUGAGGCGAAUCUUGGAGAGAGAAGUGGCACGGAGCGCUUGCUAACCAGGAGCUCCUGUCCCCACGGGAGCCAAGCUAGCUGGCAGUGGGUGGUGAGGGGAGAGGACCUGCCUCUGGCUCUUUAAAAUGGGCCCCCUUCUGGCAGAGGGCAGGCUGGAGGGGGACAGUCUGACAAAGAGCUGUCUCCUCCCCGUCAGGCAGGGAUGAAGUUUCGCCCUGUGAGACAGCGCCCUGGUCCUGCCUCCAGGGAGUGCUGGGGUCCCCGCCCAUCCCAGGGCACCCAGCCACCAUUGGCCUGUUCCAGCCCUGGCUUUUCCAAGUGGCCCGGCUGCAUGGCUUGGCCACUGCCUACUCUGUUCUCGAGAGGAGGCCGGGAGACCUGGAGACAGUGGCAGAACAGCAGAACGCUUGCCCCCUGGGUCCCAGGGCACCCAUGCUGCCGCUGGUUUGCCCGUGGGGCUGGGUUGGGGCUGAACUGCCGGAUUCUAGAGAAGCCAGGAGUGUCCCUGGGGGGCACUUUCCGGGACUGCACCUGUGUCCCUGCUCCUUCCAGGAGGGUCCUAUAUAUUUUUUUUUUUAAUAGAUGAAAGUUGGACCUUUUUUAUUCCAUAAAGGGUUGGGUCUUUUUAUCCCUUUCUUAUGAAAGGGUUGGAAAAGUUAUUUUUUUGGUUUGGGUUUUUUUGGCUGCGUUGGGUCCUUGUUGCUGCACGUG